RNAcentral lists this transfer RNA (75 nucleotides) under Sphaerodactylus townsendi. RNAcentral's name for it is "tRNA-Thr". It matches the Rfam family "tRNA". From Rfam's summary of the family: Transfer RNA (tRNA) molecules are approximately 80 nucleotides in length. Their secondary structure includes four short double-helical elements and three loops (D, anti-codon, and T loops). Lineage: Eukaryota; Metazoa; Chordata; Lepidosauria; Squamata; Sphaerodactylidae. The record is from RNAcentral.
GGAGGGGCCAUGGCUCAGUGGUAAAGAAUCUGCUUGGUAUGCAGAAGGUCCCAGGUUCAAUCCCUGGCAUUUCCA